GACGAACGCUGGCGGCGUGCUUAACACAUGCAAGUCGAACGGAAAGGCCCUGCUUUUGUGGGGUGCUCGAGUGGCGAACGGGUGAGUAACACGUGAGUAACCUGCCCUUGACUUUGGGAUAACUUCAGGAAACUGGGGCUAAUACCGGAUAGGAGCUCCUGCUGCAUGGUGGGGGUUGGAAAGUUUCGGCGGUUGGGGAUGGACUCGCGGCUUAUCAGCUUGUUGGUGGGGUAGUGGCUUACCAAGGCUUUGACGGGUAGCCGGCCUGGGAGGGUGACCGAGCAAUGUGGGAGUGGAGGAGGCCCGAGACUCCGAGGGGGGAAAGCGGUGGGAAGUAUGGCUGAGGGGGCGGAAGCCGGAGGCAACACCCCCGAGGGGGGGAGGAGGGCUUAGGGUUAGAAAACCUGUUGCGCCUGUAAGGAGGGGGGAGUGAGGAUAAUGGAAAAAGACGCACGGGCGAACGACGAG
This 468-nucleotide ribosomal RNA is filed under the name uncultured bacterium. Its description in RNAcentral is "partial 16S ribosomal RNA". It matches the Rfam family "Bacterial small subunit ribosomal RNA", at positions 28 to 507 of the family's 1533-position model. The record is from RNAcentral.